UUGCCCUGGGGCAGAGCCGCGAACGGGUGAGUAACACGUGGGUAACCUACCCCGAUGACCGGGACAACCCGAGGAAACUCGGGCUAAUACCGGAUGUGCUCGAUUCUCGUAAGGGAUUUGAGUAAAGAUAGCUUCGGCCUUCGUAUCGGGAUGGGCCCGCGGCCCAUUAGCUUGUUGGUGAGGUAACGGCUCACCAAGGCUGCGAUGGGUAGCUGGUCUGAGAGGACGAUCAGCCACACUGGGACUGAGACACGGCCAGACUCCUACGGGAGGCAGCAGUGGGGAAUCUUGCGCAAUGCGCGAAAGCGUGACGCAGCAACGCCGCGUGGGGGAAGAAGGCCUUCGGGUUGUAAACCCCUUUCAGUUGGGACGAAGCUUCGACGGUUAAUAGCUGUCUGUUGUGACGGUACCUUCAGAAGAAGCCCCGGCUAACUACGUGCCAGCAGCCGCGGUAAUACGGAGGGGGCUAGCGUUGUUCGGAAUUACUGGGCGUAAAGGGCGCGUAGGCGGCGCGAUAAGUUGGGCGUGAAAGGCCCGGGCUCAACCCGGGGACUGCGCUUGAUACUGUCGCGCUGUGAGUCCGGGAGAGGAUGGCGGAAUUCCAGUGUAGAGGUGACAUUCGUAGAUAUUGGGAAGAACACCGGUGGCGAAGGCGGCC
This 658-nucleotide ribosomal RNA is filed under the name uncultured bacterium. RNAcentral's name for it is "bacterial SSU rRNA". It matches the Rfam family "Bacterial small subunit ribosomal RNA", at positions 80 to 726 of the family's 1533-position model. The record is from RNAcentral.